RNAcentral lists this ribosomal RNA (479 nucleotides) under uncultured bacterium. Its description in RNAcentral is "bacterial SSU rRNA". It matches the Rfam family "Bacterial small subunit ribosomal RNA", at positions 9 to 472 of the family's 1533-position model. The record is from RNAcentral.
GAGUUUGAUCGUGGCUCAGGACGAACGCUGGCGGCGUGCCUAAUACAUGCAAGUCGAGCGGAUUGAUGAGGAAGCUUGCUUCCGAUUCACUUAGCGGCGGACGGGUGAGUAGCACGGAGGCAACCUGCCUGCAAGCUCGGGAUAACAUUCGGAAACGGAUGCUAAUACCGGAUAUGCAGCUUGAUCGCAUGAUCGGGCUGAGAAAGGCGGAGCAAUCUGCCGCUUGCAGAUGGGCCUGCGGCGCAUUAGCUAGUUGGUGAGGUAACGGCUCACCAAGGCGACGAUGCGUAGCCGACCUGAGAGGGUGAUCGGCCACACUGGGACUGAGACACGGCCCAGACUCCUACGGGAGCAGCAGUAGGGAAUCUUCCGCAAUGGACGAAAGUCUGACGGAGCAACGCCGCGUGAGUGAUGAAGGUUCUCGGAUCGUAAAGCUCUGUUGCCAGGGAAGAACAGCGAGGCGAGUAACUGCGCUUCGU